GACAGAGGAUGCAAGCGUUAUCCGGAAUGCUUGGGCGUAAAGCGUCUGUAGGUGGCUUUUUAAGUCUGCCGUCAAAUCCCAGGGCUUAACCCUGGACAGGCGGUGGAAACUACCAAGCUGGAGUACGGUAGGGGCAGGGGGAAUUUCCGGUGGAGCGGUGAAAUGCGUAGAGAUCGGAAAGAACACCAACGGCGAAAGCACUCUGCUGGGCCGACACUGACACUGAGAGACGAAAGCUAGGGGAGCGAAUGGG
Molecule: ribosomal RNA, 253 nt
Filed under: uncultured bacterium
Lineage: Bacteria
Description: partial 16S ribosomal RNA
Rfam family: Bacterial small subunit ribosomal RNA
Source: RNAcentral